This 301-nucleotide ribosomal RNA is filed under the name uncultured bacterium. RNAcentral describes it as "partial 16S ribosomal RNA". It matches the Rfam family "Bacterial small subunit ribosomal RNA", at positions 509 to 807 of the family's 1533-position model. The record is from RNAcentral.
CAGCCGCCGCGGGAAUACGUAGGUGGCAAGCGCUGUCCGGAAUUAUUGGGCGUAAAGGGCUCGCAGGCGGUUUCUUAAGUCUGAUGUGAAAGCCCCCGGCUCAACCGGGGAGGGUCAUUGGAAACUGGGAAACUUGAGUGCAGAAGAGGAGAGUGGAAUUCCACGUGUAGCGGUGAAAUGCGUAGAGAUGUGGAGGAACACCAGUAGCGAAGGCGACUCUCUGGUCUGUAACUGACGCUGAGGAGCGAAAGCGUGGGGAGCGAACAGGAUUAGAUACCCCGGUAGUCCCUGUCUCUUAUAC